This is a long non-coding RNA of Quercus robur (English oak), 944 nucleotides long. RefSeq lists it as uncharacterized. NCBI's taxonomy places the organism in Eukaryota, Viridiplantae, Streptophyta, Magnoliopsida, Fagales, Fagaceae. The record is from RefSeq and is a predicted model, not a curated record. The transcript has 3 exons.
CAGAACUGAACCUGACCUCUGUCUGUGACUCUCAAUUCUCAAUCUCAAGAGUGUCUCUUAGUUUUCGUCGUCAACCUUUACUCUGUCUGUGACUCUUCUUCUUCUUCUUCUCAAAACUCCAACCGCCCCUCUUUCAUCUACACUACACUACACUACAGUCAUUGAUCCUACACUAUAAAAUCAAAACCCUACCCUGAACAUGUCUCUCAACCUUCUACUUGCUCUUCCCCUCAAAUCCCUAGCCGACCUGUCUAAUUUAUCUUCUCCUCAAAACCGUGGCUGCCCUCUGUUCUUUUUCUUCACCUUAGAACCACCGAAUCCACUAGCAAGAUGGAUCGUGAUGGGAUGAUUCCCAAAGGAAAAGACAUUGACUUAGAUGCCCACCUUGAUGAAGUGGCUGAACUUCCUCCGCUAGCUCAACGUCUACAAAAGGAGGACUUCAAUUGUUUGGCAUCACUUUUAGAUGCUUCCGACAAAAGAUGAAGAACAGCCUACAUGCACAUGCAAGAAGUGUGGAAAGGAAUAUAUUGCUGCCGGUGCAUAUGUUGGGUUUAAUUUGAAGCCCCAUUUGGGGGUAUGUCCAAGGAAAUUUCAAGUGCCAUUGAGCAUUCCUAGUUCUACAGUGGCAGAUACAGAAGGUGCACAACCACAAUUGGAAGAGCUCACUGAAGAUAAAACGAGCAUGAAGAACAAUAACGAUGAGCACAAGGAAGACACCUCUUCAAUGGAAACCCUUGAUCCAGGCGACGUUAAUCAGUGAUGUCUUUUACUUUUUCUACUGUUGCACUUGGAUGGUUGGACUUGGAUUUUGCCAUCAAGGAUAUUUUGAUAUAGCAUGUAAUCAUUUUGGGUUUUUAUUAUCUUAAUCUGUUAUGUCUUUUUAGUUUUUUAUAUGGAACUUGGAUAGAGUGUUACAUAAUCUUGGUUAUUUGUUAUGGAACUUU